UUCUUAAAAAUUAAAAAUUUUGGCGGUAUAUUAGUCUUUUCAGAGGAACCUGUUUCUUAAUUGAUAGUCCACGAUUUUUUUUACUUCAUUUUUUAUUUUGUAUAUCGUUGUGUAUAGAAUAUUUUAAUAUUAAAUAUUUUCAGAUCAAGGUGCAGUUUAUAGUGAAGUUGAAGUGGGUUACAAUAAAAAUUUAAUUUUACAUGAUUUGUUAGUAAGCUCUAAAAUAUGUACAUAUUGCCCGUCGCUUUCGUUAUAAAAUGGAAUAAGUCGUAACAUAGUAGAUUUAUUGGAAAUUGAAUCUAGAAUGCAAAUUAGAGCUUUAUAAGUAUUUUAUUUACAUUAAAAGGUUAAUUGUGAAAUUCAAUUUAAUUUGAUUAGUUUCUUUUAUUAGUUAAAGGGGUUUAUUAUUUUUAAUUGAAAUAUUAUAAAUUUUUAUUAUUUUUUUGAAAAAAUAUAAUUAUAGAGAAUAAGUAUUGUAAGAGAAUAAUUGAAUAAAUUUUUAAGAAGAUUUUAUUUAUUGUACCUUGGGUAUCAGGGUUUAUUAAUUUUUUUUUCUCGAAUUAAAAAGAGUUAAUUUUAAUGUUUAAUAAUUAUUUAUAAUAUUUAUUUAGUAAUGAAAUGUUAAUCGUUUUUUAAUAUAUCUAGUUUCUUAAGAAAUAAAUUUAAUUAGGAUUUAGUUUAAUAUUUAAAUAGGGGAAAAGCUUUUGAUUAAAUUUUUAUAAUUGAUUUUGUUUUGGUAGUUUAUAUGAUUAGAAUUUUUUUUUUAUAGGAGAAUGUUAUAAUUCAUUUAUUUAAAUUUUUAUUAAGAAAUUAAUAAUAAUCUUUAUUAUUAAGCUAUAAUGAUUAAAUUAGUAAAUUUAAUAUAAGGAAUUCGGCAAAUUAUUUUUUUACCUGUUUAUUAAAAACAUGUCCUUUUGUGUAUAAUUUAAGGUCUGACCUGCCCAAUGAUUUAAUGGCCGCAGUAUAUUAACUGUGCAAAGGUAGCAUAAUCAUUAGUUUUUUAAUUGAAAGCUUGUAUGAAGGGUUUGAUAAAAAAUAUUCUGUCUCUAGAAUUUUAUUUUUAAGUUAAAAAGCUUAAA
This 1079-nucleotide ribosomal RNA is filed under the name Prostomis sp. NLG-2012. RNAcentral describes it as "partial 16S ribosomal RNA". Lineage: Eukaryota; Metazoa; Arthropoda; Insecta; Coleoptera; Prostomidae. The record is from RNAcentral.